RNAcentral lists this ribosomal RNA (455 nucleotides) under Streptococcus mitis. RNAcentral's name for it is "bacterial SSU rRNA". It matches the Rfam family "Bacterial small subunit ribosomal RNA", at positions 28 to 469 of the family's 1533-position model. The record is from RNAcentral. Lineage: Bacteria; Bacillati; Bacillota; Bacilli; Lactobacillales; Streptococcaceae.
GACGAACGCUGGCGGCGUGCCUAAUACAUGCAAGUAGAACGCUGAAGGAGGAGCUUGCUUCUCUGGAUGAGUUGCGAACGGGUGAGUAACGCGUAGGUAACCUGCCUGGUAGCGGGGGAUAACUAUUGGAAACGAUAGCUAAUACCGCAUAAUAGUAGAUGUUGCAUGACAUUUGCUUAAAAGGUGCAAUUGCAUCACUACCAGAUGGACCUGCGUUGUAUUAGCUAGUUGGUGAGGUAACGGCUCACCAAGGCGACGAUACAUAGCCGACCUGAGAGGGUGAUCGGCCACACUGGGACUGAGACACGGCCCAGACUCCUACGGGAGGCAGCAGUAGGGAAUCUUCGGCAAUGGACGGAAGUCUGACCGAGCAACGCCGCGUGAGUGAAGAAGGUUUUCGGAUCGUAAAGCUCUGUUGUAAGAGAAGAACGAGUGUGAGAGUGGAAAGUUCACAC